Glossina fuscipes is the source of this 2929-nucleotide RNA transcript. It is a transcript of the gene named epsin-2, with no coding region annotated. The record is from RefSeq and is a predicted model, not a curated record. The transcript has 9 exons. Lineage: Eukaryota; Metazoa; Arthropoda; Insecta; Diptera; Glossinidae.
UAUUCCAAGCUUUUUUCCAAAUGUCAAUUAUUAUAAGACUACAAAAAAUCGCAUCGUAUUAAUAAUUGCGUUCAUGUGUGUUACUAAACAGCGGUAGCAAGAAAAAAGGAUUUUAAUUUUUUAAUCUAUUGAUGCCAUUGCAGUAUUUUUUGUUUCUCUUCGUACUGCAACUCGUCGAUGAAUAUUCCCUGUAAAUGAACAAGAAGAGAACAUCCUUUUACGCCGAAUACAUUAACUUAAUCUCCUCAAAAAGUUGCACAAUAUCAAAAGGGUAAAGUUUACUAAUGUUUACUCCUGCCAGCUUAGCUGACACUACAAAAUUAAAAUGAUUGUCGAAUUAAAGAAAUAUACGUUCAACUUAAACGCCGGAUGUCCGUUUGCUGGUCGUCACCUGUGAUAGGUCAUCACCAUUUACAUGCGUACGCUAAUUCGCGAAAACACAAGAACGAUAUGCAAGUUAAUGUAGCAGGAUUACGCCGCAAUAUAAAAAACUUGGCUCACAAUUAUUCUGAUGCUCAGGUCAAAGUACGCGAAGCGACUUCUAAUGAUCCAUGGGGUCCAUCAGCCACCAUAAUGGCAGAAAUCGCUGAUCUGACCUACAACGUUGUGGCUUUUUCCGAAAUUAUGCAAAUGAUAUGGAAACGUUUGAAUGAUCAUGGCAAAAACUGGCGCCAUGUUUAUAAAGCUUUGAUUCUCUUGGAAUACUUGAUAAAGACCGGGACUGAAAAGGUGGCAGUGCAAUGCAAGGAGAAUAUAUUUGCAAUACAAACUCUCCGCGAAUUCGUACACUUUGAGGAGGGGAAGGAUCAGGGAACUCACGUACGUGAGAAAGCUAAACAACUGGUUAUUUUGCUAAAGGAUGACGAGCGUCUAAAAAAUGAACGUAUUAAAGCACUGAAAGCUAAAGAACGUUUCGCUCAACAUCCCAGUGGCUUUGGAAGCGAUGGCUACAUAGACGGUCCCACGCACAGAGAUAUGCCACCCGGCUGGCAAGAUGAGCCUAAUAAAUCAGUAUCAGAUCUUGAACUAGUGCGGCCACAAACUGCUGGUGAAGAAGAGCUACAGCUCCAACUAGCUAUGGCUAUGUCUCGCGAAGAAGCUGAACAAGAAGAAGCUAAACGUCGCAGUGAUGAUGUGCGUUUGCAGUUGGCUUUAAGCCAAAGUGAACAGGAUUUCAAGCAGCAGAAGCAACAAAAAGAAGAACCGCAAAGUCAUUUGUUAGACUUGUUGGAUAUUUCUUUGGGCGCAACGAGUCUUUCGAACUCAUCUCUUGGGCCGACCGGAAGUAACGUAACGAAUAUUGAUCUUUGGCCAACAGGAAUUGCAAGUCAACUCUCCGAUCCCUGGACCAGCACCGUCUCACCUCCUAUUGACCCAUGGUUACCAUCCGGAUCGUCACGUAACAUAUCUGUAACUAACACUGAGAUAGGUGCAUUAGAUGGAAUAGCAGUGACCAUAGCAGCUACCAAUGGGGUUUCUCAUACUUGGGGUAUACGUACACAAUCACCGUCUGUUACUUCAGGCUCUUCAGCGGAAGGCUGGUUGCAAUCCAAUGGGCUUGACGACAAUACUCAACAACCCAUCCCUGCUGCGGACAAUUCAGAUCCGUGGUUAGCAAAAUGUACUGCUCGAUCUCCAAUAGCCGUAACUGUAAACCAAAGUGUCUUAAUGGAUCCUUGGUUAACGUCAGGGACUACAAAAGCAACAGCGAGCCCUGCUGCCACAAUAAAAAGUUUAUCUUUAGAUGAUCCUUGGACACCCAAACCUGCAUUAGCUAGUUCUCUAGCUCUUGCAGAUUCUUGGGGGCAUAAUGAUAAUACUCCAAUUAAGAAACCAUCACCUGACUUGGACGAAUUCGACAUUAUAACAAAUCGUAAUAAGACUGCAAAUUUAUUAUCAGUUGAAAAACCUACUAAUAACGCGACUAAUAAUAAUGUCCCUCUAAUAGAUAAAUUGGACUUUUUGCCGUCCGCAAAUGUCCCAUCAAUAAGUACAUCUGGACUAGAAGCAAAUACAAGGAAACCUCUAAAAACUCCUCAGGCAUUUUUGGGUGAGAAUUCAGCUUUAGUCAAUUUAGAUAAUCUAAUUAAACCUGCUGCGCCGCAACCGGCUGGAAAUACAUCAGCCUACAAUCCAUUCAGUGAUACUAUUAUUCCAUCAAAAUCAAACCUUUUCCAACAACAACAACCUUCCGGACCAUCCAUAAAUCAACUAAAACAACAACCUUUUGCUGUAAACAUGAGCCAAGAUCCGUGGGCACCUAUCGUUAAUUCAAAUUUAGAAACAACACAGGCAACUCAAAUUCAUUAGCUUUCCGAAAAAGGUGUUAUCCUAAUAUGUAACGAGCUUAUCAACUAAUAAAAAAAACGGCUGUGUAGCUUCGUUACAAAUAUCUACUGGUAGCCAUUUUUUCUGAUUAGUGAAUUCAUCGAUUAAUUCUUUAAUAAUGUAUUUCGGAUGACUCAGUUAAACGCUACAUUAAUAUUUUUUGAAAUUCUUAACUAAGCAUAUGACUGAAUUAUUUUGUUUGAUAUCUUAUAGCCAUCAGCGGAAGCUUGGACUCUUAAAUAAAAUGAAUAAUAAUAAUAUGUCGUGGGUAAAGAUGGAGACAGUGGCAUCGAAUCCAUUCUUGUCAUAAAUAUAUAAAUGGUAAACUAAAUUUAAGAACUUAGCUUCGAAUAUCCACUGAAACUUUUUUAAAAUUUUCAUUUUUACAAAGCGAUCAUAAACCAAUGUAUAAAUAUAAUAAUUCCUAAUUGAUUAUUUUCACACAUUUUCUCAAAGCCAUAAUCGGUGUUUAAAUCGUUGAAAACACAAAAUUAAGCGAACGAGGAGAGUAAGGAAAAGUCUAGGCAAAAAUGAAAAGAAAUUUUUAGAAAAUAAAUAAUGUAACUAGUUAAAACGACAAAAAGGAUAAAAAUUAAAAAAA